Molecule: ribosomal RNA, 305 nt
Filed under: uncultured bacterium
Lineage: Bacteria
Description: bacterial SSU rRNA
Rfam family: Bacterial small subunit ribosomal RNA
Source: RNAcentral
UGCCUACGGGGGGCAGCAGUGGGGGAUAUUGCACAAUGGGGGGAACCCUGAUGCAGCGACGCCGCGUGGGUGAAGAAGCGCCUCGGCGCGUAAAGCCCUGUCAGCAGGGAAGAAAAUGACGGUACCUGAAGAAGAAGCCCCGGCUAACUACGUGCCAGCAGCCGCGGUAAUACGUAGGGGGCAAGCGUUAUCCGGAUUUAUUGGGUUUAAAGGGUGCGCAGGCGGAAGAUCAAGUCAGCGGUAAAAUUGAGAGGCUCAACCUCUUCGAGCCGUUGAAACUGGUUUUCUUGAGUGAGCGAGAAGUA